Molecule: ribosomal RNA, 450 nt
Filed under: Delftia acidovorans
Lineage: Bacteria; Pseudomonadati; Pseudomonadota; Betaproteobacteria; Burkholderiales; Comamonadaceae
Description: bacterial SSU rRNA
Rfam family: Bacterial small subunit ribosomal RNA
Source: RNAcentral
GAACUGUAGAGUUUGAUCCUGGCUCAGAUUGAACGCUGGCGGCAUGCCUUACACAUGCAAGUCGAACGGUAACAGGUCUUCGGACGCUGACGAGUGGCGAACGGGUGAGUAAUACAUCGGAACGUGCCCAGUCGUGGGGGAUAACUACUCGAAAGAGUAGCUAAUACCGCAUACGAUCUGAGGAUGAAAGCGGGGGACCUUCGGGCCUCGCGCGAUUGGAGCGGCCGAUGGCAGAUUAGGUAGUUGGUGGGAUAAAAGCUUACCAAGCCGACGAUCUGUAGCUGGUCUGAGAGGACGACCAGCCACACUGGGACUGAGACACGGCCCAGACUCCUACGGGAGGCAGCAGUGGGGAAUUUUGGACAAUGGGCGAAAGCCUGAUCCAGCAAUGCCGCGUGCAGGAUGAAGGCCUUCGGGUUGUAAACUGCUUUUGUACGGAACGAAAAAGCU